Molecule: ribosomal RNA, 253 nt
Filed under: uncultured bacterium
Lineage: Bacteria
Description: partial 16S ribosomal RNA
Rfam family: Bacterial small subunit ribosomal RNA
Source: RNAcentral
UACGUAGGUGGCAAGCGUUAUCCGGAAUUAUUGGGCGUAAAGAGCGCGCAGGUGGUUAAUUAAGUCUGAUGUGAAAGCCCACGGCUUAACCGUGGAGGGUCAUUGGAAACUGGUUGACUUGAGUGCAGAAGAGGGAAGUGGAAUUCCAUGUGUAGCGGUGAAAUGCGUAGAGAUAUGGAGGAACACCAGUGGCGAAGGCGGCCUGCUGGACGACAACUGACGGUGAGGCGCGAAAGCGUGGGGAGCAAACAGG